AUGUUGCUUACUCAAAUGUUUGUGGCGAUUGUAUCCUUGUGCCAUGAAUAUUUGUACUUAGCAGAUCAGUAUAAACAUAUUGGCUAUCUAUUUACCAAUUCAGAAUUUAAAGCACUUUAUUUUAUGGCCUUGAGUAAAAGUUCAGUCGUUGUUGGCUGGAAGACAUCUUCAAUACGCCGUCAACACGAGCUUCCCAAGAAAGAAGAUUUUGUGGAUGAUGUAAGAUAUCCACAUGUUGUAUAUGUGGAAAAACCAAAGGCUCGGGAUGUUGAUUUUUCGGAUGAAAUGAUUUAUCAGGCAAAAACUACAAGUGAAAUGGAAGAAGUAAUGCUCAAAAGCCUGAAUAGAAUUCCUUGGGAAAGGGUAGAUGUUAGCUUCAAGAGAAGUAGACAAUGGAUUUUUGCCCAUAGCACCAUUCAGGUGAAGACGUAUUUCUUGAACUCUGAUGGGGCUGAUGUGAUCUUCCACAUGAUCGACCAUUUUCUUUACUAG
This 492-nucleotide ribosomal RNA is filed under the name Triticum aestivum (bread wheat). RNAcentral describes it as "partial small subunit ribosomal RNA". The record is from RNAcentral. Lineage: Eukaryota; Viridiplantae; Streptophyta; Magnoliopsida; Poales; Poaceae.